RNA transcript from Erythranthe guttata (spotted monkey flower), 3008 nucleotides. It is a transcript of the gene named DNA (cytosine-5)-methyltransferase CMT2, with no coding region annotated. The record is from RefSeq and is a predicted model, not a curated record. NCBI's taxonomy places the organism in Eukaryota, Viridiplantae, Streptophyta, Magnoliopsida, Lamiales, Phrymaceae.
UUUUCCCUUUAUUUAGGGUGCUCAGGAAUUACAGAUUUCAAUUUCACCAACGGCGGAUAUGGACAACAUCCAGUCGGAGAAUUCGCCGUCAGCUCCGGCUCCGUCGCAUACGAAUGGGAACUCUGAUCAGUCAACCCGAGACCUACACAGUAGCGAUGAAACCAGUGGCAAUAUUGAGAAUUCUCCGACAAACAAUGGCUUUCCGGGGAAGAAAUCGUCUAAUCGGGAUAAUGAAAUGCUGAGGAGCUCCGAAAAUGACGGCCGCCGCCGUUCGUCGAGAUUGGCUGAUAAUGCUGGAGGUGAUGGUACCUGGAAGGAGGUAAACUACACCGAAUUAGACUUGCUUUUGGAGAAAUCUCCUCCGACGAAGAAGCAUAAGAGUGGGAAAAAGGAUUACUUCUUUAUUGGUGAGCCGGUACACGAGGAUGAGGCUCGGCGCCUCUGGCCUUGGCGGUAUGACAAAACCGAGGCUCCACAAAAUUAUAGACGAUCACUGUACUAUGAGACUGAUGAUGAUGAUGAUGAUGACGAUGAGGAUGAUAAUGACGACGAUGAUGUGAUUGUUAUGAACAUAAAGUGCCACUAUUCUAAAGCUGAAAUACAUAAGAUUGUUUUUGAUCUUGGUGAUUGUGCAUACGUCAAGGGUCCAGAGGGAGGUCCUAAUUAUGUUGGCAAAAUUCUAGAAUUUUUUGAGACGAUAGAUGGUGAAGACUAUUUUAGGGUUCAGUGGUUUUUCAGAGCUGAAGAUACGGUAAUAAAGGAUGAUGGGAGAUCUCAUGACAACAAACGGUUAUUCUAUUCUACUUUAAUGAACGACAACUUAUUAGACUCUAUAGUUUCAAAAGUACAAGUUGUUCAAAUAACACCCGAUGUUAAUUUGAAAGCAACAUCUAUUCCACCUUGUGACUUCUAUUUUGAUAUGAAAUACUCACUGGAUUACUCGACAUUCAAUGCAAUUACAGACAAUCAUGCAGAUAUUAGUAGUUUGUCCUCUCUUCCUCACCCUCCGACAAUGUCAACCAAAAACAAACAUGGAACCUGCAAAACUGGAACCAUGCAUACUGCAGAUGAAAUGUCUAACAAGGAAGUCUGUAAACCUGAGCUAGCAUUGUUGGAUAUGUACUCUGGCUGUGGAGGAAUGUCCACGGGACUGUGCCUUGGCACUAAAGUUUGUGAUGUAGAUCUCGUGACGAGAUGGGCUGUUGACAUGGAUAGAGCAGCAUGUGAAAGCUUGAAGCUAAAUCAUCCAGAGACCCAAAUUAGGCAUGGAUCUGCAGAGGAUUUUCUUGAUUUGUUGAAGGAAUGGGACAGCUUGUGCAGACAAUAUGGGAGCCAUGAAGAAAAAGAACUCGUGACAAGGCUAACUGGAGAAGCUGAUGAAGACAUACAAUCAAAAGAGGAUCACGAAAAAUCCUGUGAAUAUGAAGUGGAAAAACUAGUAGAUAUACGUUUUAGUGCUAUCACAAAAUCAGGCAAUCGGGGACUUAAGUUUAAGGUGCGCUGGCUUGGAUAUGACCCAACUGACGAUACAUGGGAGCCAAUUGAGGCCUUGAGAAAUUGCCAAGAGCGGAUACGAGAUUUCGUGCAACAGGGAAUGAAAGAAAAAAUCUUGCCACGUCCGGGAGAUGUUGCUGUAAUUUGCGGUGGUCCUCCAUGCCAAGGAAUUAGUGGCUCCAACCGGUUUAGAAAUGUUGAUACUCCUCUUGAUGAUGAAAAAAAUCGCCAAAUUGUGAUUUUCAUGGAUACAAUUGACUUCUUAAAGCCAAAGUUUGUUCUAAUGGAAAACGUAGUGGAUAUCUUGAGGUUUGCUAAUGGCAUUCUAGGAAGAUAUGCUGUAAGCCGUUUAGUUCGUAUGCAUUAUCAAGCAAGGCUUGGGAUUAUGGCUGCUGGUUGCUAUGGGCUUCCUCAAUUUCGCUUACGUGUUUUCUUAUGGGGUGCCCAUCCUCAUGAGGUAUUGCCGCAGUUUCCCCUUCCUACACAUGACGUGGUGAUCCGGUAUGGAUUUCCUAAUGAUUUUGAGCGUAAUGUUGUUGCAUAUGAUGAAGGGCAGCAUCGGGAUCUAGAAAAAAUCAUUCUUCUUGGCGAUGCUAUUACUGAUCUUCCUCCUGUUGGAAAUGAUGAGAAACGUGACAAGAUAUCGUACCAAAAUCCGCCUGAAACUGACUUUCAAAAGUAUAUCAGAGCAGCUAAACGUGAUAUGACAGGUUCACCUUCCGAUGGCACAUCUGUAGGCAGUAAUCCUACUCUUUACGAUCAUUUACCUCGUACUUUGAAUGAUGAUGACUAUAUGCGAGUGUGUAAAGUACCAAAAAGAAAGGGUGCUAAUUUUAGAGACCUCCCAGGCGUUAUUAUUGGAUCUGACAAUGUAGUUCAACGAGCGGAAGAGCACGAGUUGAUGCCAUCAGGGAAGCCAUGGGUAACAAGAUGGAUCAAUUUUUAUUCCUUGCCUUUUUUUUGGCUAAAAUAUAUUUUCCUCCAAUGCAUUUCUAGCAAUAUAGCAGGUGCCCGAUUAUGCCAUUAAUUUACGUGAUGGAAGGACCAGACAAGCAUUUGGACGACUGUGGUGGGAUGAGACUGUACCAACCGUAUUUUGUUCUCCGGAUCCACACAUACGGCCAGUUUUACACCCUGAACAAGACAGGGUCCUCACUAUACGUGAAUGUGCAAGGCUACAGGGCUUUCACGACCACUAUAUGUUCUUUGGAAACCUGAAAGAAAGAUACAGUCAAGUGGGAAAUGCAGUAGCUGUUUCAGUGGGACGCGCUCUAGGAUAUUCACUUGGUAUGGCAGUGCAGAAACUGAGUGGAGAAAACGAACAUCUCACGACUCUUCCCCCGAAAUUCUCCCACUCUACAACUGUUGAGCUGCAAUCUUUACUUCACAAGUUGAAAGAAUAGUUAGUUAAUUCAUUUUUGUACUCUAUAUUUUUUACUGGGAGAUGAUGAACCUUUUCUCCCCAAAACCAAUUCAUAAUUUGUGACACAUAAGCGGCAUAAUUUUUUGAUAAA